RNAcentral lists this non-coding RNA (23 nucleotides) under Cricetulus griseus (Chinese hamster). Lineage: Eukaryota; Metazoa; Chordata; Mammalia; Rodentia; Cricetidae. The record is from RNAcentral.
UGAACAAAAACAUCAAGCAAAUG